CAGUGCUGGGUAAAGAGGAAUAAUCACUUCCCAGGCCGAAUACUAGAUAUUAGAUCUGGAGUCCUUCCAGUGGUAUUUUUAUAGGAAAGGUACCAUGUUUUCAAUUCCACAAAUCUUUGCCAUAAUGAAUUAUUGUAAUUAUCAUGUACAAAUUGUCACUGGUUGACUACCCAUCUGGUCUUUCUCUUCUUCAUUUUAUGUUACUAUUAAAAUUUGUACUUCUUUUAUACUGUCUGAACUGCAAGCAGCUUCUUGUACUUUACUAUUCAAAUGUAGUCUUUAAUUUACACAUCUCUUAACUCUGUGAUGGGCUUUAAAAAAGUUUCCAGUUAAAGACUUGAAAAAUCCUUUUGUAUUGUUUCAAUUUUUUUUAUGUAUUUUUUUCUUAAUUCACUGAAAACGGUUUGGUUGCAACUGGGUACCCAAGAAAAUGUCUUUUCUUGUGAGCCUCAGAAGCAUGCUUCCAAAAAGCAAUGAUGGAAGUGUGGAGAAACGUCUUCAACUGGCAGCAUUUGAUCGGUUCCUUGCUUACAGCCAACGAACAGGAGAGGGAGCCAAUGUACUAAAAAGCUGCAGAAGAAUUGUAACCUGCACUUGAAGGGCUGUGAGCUCUGAUUCUUCAGUAGUGCCAGAGCCGAAUGUCACCGCUGACACAACAUGCUUGAGUUACACUGAAGUUCAUGGCAUAGCUUUAAAGUUUGCUCUGGCUUCAGAUCUUACCUGAAAAGUACAGCUCCUUUUCCUGCAUGGCUGCAACAGUAACCUCCAGUAACCAGGUCUCGGACACGCUUGACUUCUUCAAAAAGGGGGACGGCCUCCACUAAUCUUCCAGUUGAUCCUGAGGGACUUCAAAUGCAAGGUAAUUAUUGGGUAAGUAGUUCUUAUUACUUCAUCUGCAGAAGUUCACUUCAUUGAUGCGCAUCACAUGCUCAAUUUCUCUUUAUCGACCUAAUGUAAUAAGAGAGGUUGUAACUUCACUGAAAAUAAUAGUAAAUAUGAAGGGUAUUUUUUAUGACAGCACUCCACAUCAAAAGGUUUCAGAGGCAGAUUUCUUAACUUUCAGUAGCACAGUUGUAUACGUCUAAAUAAAAGCUUUACAGUAGCAUGAUGAGAAUCUUUAACUUGGAGUUUCAUAUUAGAAUAAGCAAAUAUUAAUGAAAUUCUGAAAUGUUUGAUCCUCUGGUGACCCAUCCUGCUUUCCUUUGCUGUCUACAGCUAUUACAGAUACAUGUCUCCAGAGAAUCAAAUAAAUGGUUGUAGUCAUUGCUAAAAUAUUCA
Molecule: long non-coding RNA, 1278 nt
Organism: Corapipo altera (White-ruffed manakin)
Lineage: Eukaryota; Metazoa; Chordata; Aves; Passeriformes; Pipridae
Exons: 4
Source: RefSeq, a predicted model, not a curated record